RNAcentral lists this ribosomal RNA (484 nucleotides) under uncultured bacterium. Its description in RNAcentral is "partial 16S ribosomal RNA". It matches the Rfam family "Bacterial small subunit ribosomal RNA", at positions 29 to 507 of the family's 1533-position model. The record is from RNAcentral.
AUUGAACGCUGGCGGCAUGCUUUACACAUGCAAGUCGAACGGCAGCGCGGGCUUCGGCCUGGCGGCGAGUGGCGAACGGGUGAGUAAUACAUCGGAACGUGCCCAGUAGUGGGGGAUAGCUCGGCGAAAGCCGGAUUAAUACCGCAUACGACCUGAGGGUGAAAGCGGGGGAUCUUCGGACCUCGCGCUAUUGGAGCGGCCGAUGGCAGAUUAGCUAGUUGGUGGGGUAAAGGCCUACCAAGGCGACGAUCUGUAGCUGGUCUGAGAGGACGACCAGCCACACUGGGACUGAGACACGGCCCAGACUCCUACGGGAGGCAGCAGUGGGGAAUUUUGGACAAUGGGCGAAAGCCUGAUCCAGCAAUGCCGCGUGUGUGAUGAAGGCCUUCGGGAUGUAAAGCACUUUUGGCGGGAACGAAAAGGACUGUGCCAAUACCACGGUUCGAUGACGGUACCCGCAGAAUAAGCACCGGCUAACUACGUG